This is a long non-coding RNA of Nicotiana attenuata, 2266 nucleotides long. RefSeq lists it as uncharacterized. NCBI's taxonomy places the organism in Eukaryota, Viridiplantae, Streptophyta, Magnoliopsida, Solanales, Solanaceae. The record is from RefSeq and is a predicted model, not a curated record. The transcript has 2 exons.
UGCCUACGGCUCUAGAAAAAAAGGAAAUGUUAUACAAUGCGCAUAUAUAGUGGGACAUUAAUCUAACAGGACACAGAAAACGUGCCGUCAAAUACUCUCACGAAAAUUGAGAAUUUGAAUAAGAAUUCAUCUACACAAAGGUCCAAUGGACAACGCUGUGCCAGUUUCCACAUCAAACUCCGGUACCGGCAAUCGCCGGUCACGGCCACGCUAUAUGUUCUGUAGCUGCUUCAGGCGCUGUUGUCGCUGUUUCUGCUGCUUCUACUCCUACCCAUGAGAUACCUUAAUCAGUGUUUUAAUUUUAUAUCUGCUUGUACAUAUAAGUGCGCCUUUCAGUAUACAAAAGUGUUGUAUGAUAUGGUCAAUUACUGAACUGAAAUCAAUUUUAGUUUUGUAUUAAAGCUUUUCAUCCUUUUGGUGAAUCAAAAAUUAAGUUGAUGAUCUUAUACCUUUUGUUGACUGUGUUGAAAUACUUUUAUUAUAAGCUAUGUUAAUGUCAGCGGACAACUGAAAAGAAGUUGGAUUGGUAGGUAUAGAAUUAGGAGACAAUUGAUGUUCUUUCCGUGUUUUACUGUAUGGAUGCUGAAAAUGGAAUUUACAUAUGGUGACUACUUGAGUUAUAUGUUCUCAUGUGCAUUUUGGUUAUGAAAUCUCUCCAUAUAUCCAAUAAAAGGUUGCAGAAAGAAAAUUUCUUUAACUGCUGGGAUGUUUGGCUCUUUGUAAAUAUAUGAAUGUCAUUGAUAUAUACACACUCAAAAUCAAUGUAUAUGCUAUGUUAUAAGCUUCAAUGUCCUGUCUAAAUUCUAAAUCUUUGUGUUGAAGUAGACAAGUGAUCCAAUUGUUUUUUGGUUCAAUAAGGAGACAAAUGGUCGGUAUAUAGUUUCUUCAAUUAGGAAUCAAGCCAUGAGUCUGUAACUGCUUUUUAUAUGUGAAAAAUUUCUUGUCCGCAUUAGCGACGGGCAAGUGGAGAGUAUCAUUAAAUGGAAUCAAAAUCAAGUGUCAAUAGUUAUGUCAAGGUUCCGAGCAGUUAUUUGAUGUUAGAAUAGUUGUUGAUGUAUCUUAAGUAGUGUGGAUACAAGCAUAAAGCCAAAGAUUUAUGUUGAAGAUAGAAGAUGGAUGGCAUGUAUGCAUGACCUAGCAGGCAUCUUUAGCUGCUGAGGUAUGUGGUGCUGUUCCUACUAGUAGUUUUAUAUGCAUUUCUAAAGAUAAACGUAUAUGUGGGAUAACAUACUAUUGCACUGCUAUACCUAUAUCAGCUGAAAUGGACUAGUAAGGCGUACCCGGUCGUUGUGGUUUGAACCAAAGAUGUGAUUUACUCUAGUGAGAGCUACCAAUCUGAGAUGUUUCAGAACUUCAAUUUUGCAUUCUUUCAACUGUAAGUUGACUUUUUAGCUGAAAUUAUAUUCUAGCAAUCUCACCGAUAGCUUCUUUUGUUUCUUUGUUGUAAUUUAGGGAGGUGUUUUCCCUUUCAUAGGAUCCAAGUGCAGGUGUGGGGUGUGGGAUGUGGGAGAAGGGUGACAAAGGAGCUUUCUUUUCAUCAUUGGAACCAUUCAGGCACUAUGACUGUUGCAGCAAAAUGCAUAGAAGUCCAUGAGACAACAAGGAUAUUGUCGAACUCUGCUGCAAGAUCUUCCGUAUAAAUUAGCUGAAAGUUCAAAUUUCAACCUCCCUGUUUGAUUUUGUUUCGCCCUCGUCUAUAUGUCACUGUUGUACUCUUGUAGUGUAAAUGCUACCAGAAUUCAUAGUUAUCCAUCUUUUCAUCGCAGGGUUCAUAUGCAAGGUAGAUUAUUCUCCUCGCACUGAAGUACUUUAAUAUGCAAGGUAAAUCUACAGCUGUAUGUUUAAGGAUCAAGGUGUGACAGGAAGCAUAUUAUUGCAUUCAUUCAAGUCUGACUCAUUUACGAAUGCUUUGAUCUCUUAUCUAAGUUGCCUCACAUUAUUGCACUUUUCCCUUUCAGUUUGACCUCUUUUGGGCUUUUGCCAUGCCAGUUAUGAACUGUGUCUGCAUUUGCUUUCUUAGAGUUAGUGGUCCUCUCCAGUUCAAUCCUAGCUGGUUGCUAUUGAUGAAGAAUACGAAAAUCUUUGAUGCUUUACUACUAGUUCUAUAUAUUUGCUUUCUAUCUAUUUUUUCGCGAGGUGCCAUAAAAGAGAGUGAUUAUCCAGGAUGUUACCUACAGAUUGUUCCUUGUAUUUAUUCUGUGUCCCCUUAUACGCUGGCUUGACUGCUAGUUCAAGUCGCUGUUUGAUUAUCUUUUUGUCUUUUCUA